This 758-nucleotide ribosomal RNA is filed under the name Bacillus thuringiensis. RNAcentral's name for it is "bacterial SSU rRNA". It matches the Rfam family "Bacterial small subunit ribosomal RNA", at positions 36 to 776 of the family's 1533-position model. The record is from RNAcentral. Lineage: Bacteria; Bacillati; Bacillota; Bacilli; Caryophanales; Bacillaceae.
AUGGCGGCGUGCUAUACAUGCAAGUCGAGCGAAUGGAUUAAGAGCUUGCUCUUAUGAAGUUAGCGGCGGACGGGUGAGUAACACGUGGGUAACCUGCCCAUAAGACUGGGAUAACUCCGGGAAACCGGGGCUAAUACCGGAUAACAUUUUGAACUGCAUGGUUCGAAAUUGAAAGGCGGCUUCGGCUGUCACUUAUGGAUGGACCCGCGUCGCAUUAGCUAGUUGGUGAGGUAACGGCUCACCAAGGCAACGAUGCGUAGCCGACCUGAGAGGGUGAUCGGCCACACUGGGACUGAGACACGGCCCAGACUCCUACGGGAGGCAGCAGUAGGGAAUCUUCCGCAAUGGACGAAAGUCUGACGGAGCAACGCCGCGUGAGUGAUGAAGGCUUUCGGGUCGUAAAACUCUGUUGUUAAGGAAGAACAAGUGCUAGUUGAAUAAGCUGGCACCUUGACGGUACCUAACCAGAAAGCCACGGCUAACUACGUGCCAGCAGCCGCGGUAAUACGUAGGUGGCAAGCGUUAUCCGGAAUUAUUGGGCGUAAAGCGCGCGCAGGUGGUUUCUUAAGUCUGAUGUGAAAGCCCACGGCUCAACCGUGGAGGGUCAUUGGAAACUGGGAGACUUGAGUGCAGAAGAGGAAAGUGGAAUUCCAUGUGUAGCGGUGAAAUGCGUAGAGAUAUGGAGGAACACCAGUGGCGAAGGCGACUUUCUGGUCUGUAACUGACACUGAGGCGCGAAAGCGUGGGGAGCAAACAGG